Molecule: ribosomal RNA, 1169 nt
Filed under: uncultured Bacteroides sp.
Lineage: Bacteria; Pseudomonadati; Bacteroidota; Bacteroidia; Bacteroidales; Bacteroidaceae
Description: bacterial SSU rRNA
Rfam family: Bacterial small subunit ribosomal RNA
Source: RNAcentral
AGUUUGAUCCUGGCUCAGGAUGAACGCUAGCUACAGGCUUAACACAUGCAAGUCGAGGGGCAGCAUUGGGGUAGCAAUACUUCAGAUGGCGACCGGCGCACGGGUGAGUAACACGUAUCCAACCUGCCGCUUACUCGGGGAUAGCCUUUCGAAAGAAAGAUUAAUACCCGAUGGUAUAAAGAGUUCGCAUGUUCUCUUUAUUAAAGAAUUUCGGUAAGCGAUGGGGAUGCGUUCCAUUAGAUAGUUGGCGGGGUAACGGCCCACCAAGUCUACGAUGGAUAGGGGUUCUGAGAGGAAGGUCCCCCACAUUGGAACUGAGACACGGUCCAAACUCCUACGGGAGGCAGCAGUGAGGAAUAUUGGUCAAUGGACGAGAGUCUGAACCAGCCAAGUAGCGUGAAGGAUGACUGCCCUAUGGGUUGUAAACUUCUUUUAUAAGGGAAUAAAGUGAGGGACGUGUCCCUUUUUGUAUGUACCUUAUGAAUAAGGAUCGGCUAACUCCGUGCCAGCAGCCGCGGUAAUACGGAGGAUCCAAGCGUUAUCCGGAUUUAUUGGGUUUAAAGGGAGCGUAGGUUGACAUAUAAGUCAGCUGUGAAAGUUUACGGCUCAACCGUGAAAUUGCAGUUGAUACUGUAUGUCUUGAGUGUACAAGAGGUGGGCGGAAUUCGUGGUGUAGCGGUGAAAUGCUUAGAUAUCACGAAGAACUCCAAUUGCGAAGGCAGCUCACUGGGGUACAACUGACACUGAGGCUCGAAAGUGUGGGUAUCAAACAGGAUUAGAUACCCUGGUAGUCCACACAGUAAACGAUGAAUACUCGCUGUUUGCGAUAUACAGUAAGCGGCCAAGCGAAAGCAUUAAGUAUUCCACCUGGGGAGUACGCCGGCAACGGUGAAACUCAAAGGAAUUGACGGGGGCCCGCACAAGCGGAGGAACAUGUGGUUUAAUUCGAUGAUACGCGAGGAACCUUACCCGGGCUUGAAUUGCAGAGGAACAUAGUUGAAAGAUUAUGGCCGCAAGGUCUCUGUGAAGGUGCUGCAUGGUUGUCGUCAGCUCGUGCCGUGAGGUGUCGGCUUAAGUGCCAUAACGAGCGCAACCCUUAUCAUUAGUUACUAACAGGUCAUGCUGAGGACUCUAGUGAGACUGCCGUCGUAAGAUGUGAGGAAGGUGGA